CCCUGGAGCUGUGAACCCAAAAAAAACCUUUCUGCUUAUAAAUAGUCCAAAGUAAAUCUUUAUUACUCAUAAGAUUAUCACAGAUGACAAUAACAGCUUAAAACACCCCACAAACUGGCUAAGCACAUAAACACACCUGAAACACAUGCUUGAAUACGUGCAAAGGUUUCAGAGAUUCAAAAGCCUUUCACCCACACAGAGACCUUGAGUUGGAAUAACAUUUCAACCAGUUAGAAAUGGAAACGAUCUACUGAAUCAAUCAGAUUACUUAACUCAGUUGGGAAGGAGCCAGCUGGAUAAGCACUGCCUUGUGAAUGCCAUCUGAAGAGCUGGACACCACAGCAUUUUUUUCCUUUGACAAACAGUGGGGUCAGGGAAAGGCAACUGAUUUUCUGAGUUGGAGGUACUAGGUUGCAAGCUUGACCACACUAUUUAAUUGGCUGUGGGGAUGCCUAAGAGCUUAUAUCUGCAAAUUUGUACCGAUUGGGGGGAAAAAAGAUAAGAUCGUGGCUAGUUGAGUGCAUGUCACAACCUAUGAUCCCAGCACUGGGGGAGGAUGAUCAGGAGUUCCUGGCAGCCUGAGCCACAUACGGACCUUCCUCCCAACCCCCAAAAUGUAAAGAAGGAAAGCUGGUUGCAUUAACUGACUACUGUGUGAUGAAAGAAAUGGUGAUAAAUAUAUUUAUAGUGCAUAUGGUUGACAAGGGAUUACUAUGUACACUAUAUAAAGCACUCAUUCUACAGCUGUCAUUUGUGAACAAGUGUGCAGGGUAUUCAAUGGAGCAGUGGUUAUUGUAGCAAAAGUUUGGAAACAAUCCCAAGUGACUGGUCAAUUAAACUAUGGUUAUUUAGGUAGUAAAAUUCCAUGUAGCUGAAAAAGAGACCCAAGAUCCCAUCUUUGUUCCCAACUGGUCAGAUCUUAAGGAGGAUGUACUAUUAGGAAGAAAAAUGAAAAAAGAGAAAAUAAAUACAAGCUGUUACAUUUUGUGUACUUUCUAGUGUAGAUGGAAAAUUACAAUUUUUGUAAUAAAAUUAAGAUGAAGUUAACAUUGUUAGGAGUUACUGAUUUUCUUUGCUCCACAGAGUCAGAGUCACUUAGUGAUGUCUACUGAGUGAUAAGGCCCAGCUUUGAUGACCAAAUGAUGUUAGGAGGUAGCACACGUUCUUUGUCCACCUCUGUUGUUGGACAUAUAGGAUGGCUCCAUUAGCUCCUGUGAAUAGUGCUGCAAUAAAUAUUGGUGUGGAGGUAUUUCUGUGAUAAGCUGGCCUGGACUCCUUCAGAUAUAUGGACCCUAAUUACUAAUGAUCCCAUGGCAUUUUAUAUACCCUAUGCUGUAAAAUUUAUUACUUCUCAACAUAGUGAGAUUCCCGUCUAUUCAAACAGAACCCCCACAAAUAUUCAUCCGCAAGGUAAGACCUAAGGCAGAGUGACUUUCCUUAACUGUUCCAAAAGAACUUCCUCUUUUCCUAUGGCAAUUUAUCUUUUGUUUGUGUGAGUCCUGUCCCUGUCGUGUUCCCCACUCCCUUCCCCAGGGUAUCUUUGUGUAGCUUUGGUUGUCCUGGAAUUUGCUCUAUAGACCAGGCUGGGCUUGAACUCACAGAGAUCUGCUUGCCUCUGCUUCCACAUGCUGGGAUUAAAGGUGUGCGCAGGGAGCCUUUUUGCCGUUCUUUAAUGUCUCAAUUAUGACCCUUGUAAAUGCUUUUUACCCACCCAUGUCUUCUAACCUUGUUUCACAUGACAUAGGAUAUCUGCUGAAUGAACAUGAAUUGCCUUUACUCCUUCCUCUUCUGGAAGCAACUGAUAACCAACAAAGUUUUUCAUAGAAAACGGGGGACAAUAAAAAAAAUCAUUUGGGCUGGGAUCAAUUUGGGCACCAAGUUAUAGCUCUAACAGGCUUGAAACUUCCUCUCAUAUCAAAGCUUACAACCCAAGAAACUUAUUUCCUUUUAGCUGUCUAAGUUGUGGGUCAGAAUACUUUCCUAUUGGUACAAUCUCAAUCUCGUUUUUUAUGCUUGUAACCAAAGUGUCUUGUUAAGUUUCACUGUAUUUUCCUGGAGGAAAGGAAAAAAAAGAAAGCUUGAUGAAACCCAGGGCAGGCAACACUCUACCACUGAACUUACACUCUCAAACCUGUGAUUUAGCUAAGUCUUGCAUAGCUGUACAAGCUUAGAACAAAGGAUGAUGUAAUUAUCUGAUGAAAAUGUCUGUCAUGAUUUCAGUGGUAAGUUUUUUUUUUUUUAAAGAUUUUUUUUUUUAUCAUGUAUACAAAAUUUUGCUUCCAUAUAUAUUU
This is a non-coding RNA of Cricetulus griseus (Chinese hamster), 2291 nucleotides long. The record is from RefSeq and is a predicted model, not a curated record. NCBI's taxonomy places the organism in Eukaryota, Metazoa, Chordata, Mammalia, Rodentia, Cricetidae.